This 1116-nucleotide long non-coding RNA is filed under the name Melopsittacus undulatus (budgerigar). Its description in RNAcentral is "lncRNA (ENSMUNG00000013852.2)". The record is from RNAcentral. Lineage: Eukaryota; Metazoa; Chordata; Aves; Psittaciformes; Psittaculidae.
UCUCAUAUGAAGCAGUGGUGGAUGAGCUACUUUUAUUACAAGACAAAUUAAACCACGGUAUCCUGUCACCCCCCUGUAACUAGGCCUUCACCCUACCUGAACGAGGCAACUGCUGAGGAGAUAACUGGCGUUUUCUUUACGUGACACCCAGUGACCACAGGCCAAAGGUACCCGGCAGCAGGCAGGCUCUAGCCAAAGGGGGGCAUGCAGGGCAGCCAUAGGGCACAGAGAAGACACUGUCCCCUCAUGCGGCUCCGCCUUGUCCCACUAUGAGACGUUAGGAACACGUGAAAUGCCCACACCCCACAUGGUCCCCACAGCGGCAGCGCCCUCAGGGCCGAGGCCGAGGUGAGCAGCCGGGCUCGGCCCCGCGCCGGGCGGCAGGGGCGGGUCCCUCGCCGCGCUCCGCCCCGGGGUGGCGGCGGGAGCAGCGCCGGGAGCGGCGGUGGUCGGAGGGGUGACUUUUGGUACCAGCCAUUUUAGUGAAGGAGCCAAAAGAAAGAGAAGCCUGGAAAAACUAAAGCUGCAAGAACAGGAGCACGUUUGGAAAAGGGGGGAAAAGAGACGGGGUUGAAAGAAAAACACGUGGUGAUGAAAAGAAGUUCGAGAGAGGAAAAAGAAAGCUAAGCUCAAGAGGAGAGAAGAGAGGCAGAUAGAUGGAGAUAAGAAACAUCCCCCAAAGCAGCAGAAGGUACCAGCUGAAGAACAGCAGUGGCCAGAGAAUAUGCCUGAAUGGGAAGAAAGGAAAUCCCUGCUAGCUCAGAGAAGAGUGGAGGCUGUCAGACUGCUUACAGUGCUGUUAAGCCAUGUGAAAAGGCGGACAGUUAUGUGCAGCUGGAGUCGCUCAGAAAGAUACAAGGAAAGUGUAAGAAAAUAUUGCACAAAAAAGUGAAAUUCAAGACCCUUCACAGCACCAUGGCAGCCCCAGAUGUUACCCCUUGUGAUGGCUCACUGCUCCAGGAGACCCUCCAGAGGACAGGAGAUGAGAGGAGAUUAAUGUUGAGAAAAGAGAUGGAUGCAGAUGUCAAAGGAUGCCCUCUAUUUCCUCUUGAGAUAAUUCAGACAGAUGCCUGCUCAGAUACUUUCUGUGGAGCAGAGCCCAGAAGAGGAUGCUGA